Long non-coding RNA from Eucalyptus grandis, 221 nucleotides. RefSeq lists it as uncharacterized. The transcript is spliced from 3 exons. The record is from RefSeq and is a predicted model, not a curated record. NCBI's taxonomy places the organism in Eukaryota, Viridiplantae, Streptophyta, Magnoliopsida, Myrtales, Myrtaceae.
ACUGAAAAGUGAGGAGAAAGUACUGAAAGUGCAGUUUGAACAGCUUUAAGCUCCCUCCUCAUACAAUUCAUAUUCGACCGUCGAUGAUCAAUGUUGAAAAGGACCCGAAGCUUUCAAAUAUCAGGACCGUUGAUGCACUCGAAAUAGUACAAACAAGUAAUAAACCAAAGCCUGCAUAUCUUUCAAAGAUUUUGAUUGCACUUUUAAGCUAUGACGGGAUC